Molecule: ribosomal RNA, 478 nt
Filed under: uncultured bacterium
Lineage: Bacteria
Description: bacterial SSU rRNA
Rfam family: Bacterial small subunit ribosomal RNA
Source: RNAcentral
GUGAUCGGCCACCAUUGGGAGUGAGACCCGGCCCAGACUCNUACGGGAGCCAGCAGUAGGGAAUCCUCCACAAUGGACGAAAGUCUGAUGGAGCAACGCCGCGUGAGUGAUGAAGGUUUUCGGAUCGUAAAACUCUGUUGUAAGGGAAGAACACGUACGAGAGGUAAUGCUCGUACCUUGACGGUACCUUACGAGAAAGCCACGGCUAACUACGUGCCAGCAGCCGCGGUAAUACGUAGGUGGCAAGCGUUGUCCGGAAUUAUUGGGCGUAAAGCGCGCGCAGGCGGCCUUUUAAGUCUGAUGUGAAAGCCCCCGGCUCAACCGGGGAGGGCCAUUGGAAACUGGAAGGCUUGAGUACAGAAGAGAAGAGUGGAAUUCCACGUGUAGCGCUGAAAUGCGUAGAGAUGUGGAGGAACACCAGUGGCGAAGGCGACUCUUUGGUCUGUCACUGACGCUGAGGCGCGAAAGCCUGGGGAGC